This 72-nucleotide transfer RNA is filed under the name Candidatus Micrarchaeota archaeon RBG_16_36_9. RNAcentral describes it as "tRNA-Ala". It matches the Rfam family "tRNA". From Rfam's summary of the family: Transfer RNA (tRNA) molecules are approximately 80 nucleotides in length. The record is from RNAcentral. Lineage: Archaea; Nanobdellati; Microcaldota.
GGGCUGGUAGAUCAACGGAAGAUCGCUUCCUUGGCAUGGAAGAGGUUACGGGUUCGAAUCCCGCCCAGUCCA